UGAUUAAUAGUUAUUGCCUGAUGCAUCGUGCUGAUUUUGGAUUUUCGGUGUUACCUAUUUACUUGAAGAAUGGCAUUCCGUUUAAUAAUGUUACCUUUACAACUCUAAUUAGGGGAAUCUUUGCUGAAAAUAAGGUUAAAGAUGCUGUUGAAUUGUUCAAAAAAUUGGUGAGAGAGAAGAUUUGUGUGCCCGAUGAAAUCAUGUAUGCAACAGUAAUGAGUGGGCUCAGCAAAAGGGGUCAUACUCAGAAGACUUUAAGUUUGCUCCGGUUAAUGGAACAAGGUAACACUCAGCCCGACAUAUAUAUGUACAACAUUGUAAUAGAUGCUCUUUGCAAAGAUGGAAACUUAGAUGCUGCUAUCAACAUUCUGAACGAGAUGAAGCAGAAAGGCAUUCAUCCAGACAUAUUAACGUAUAAUUCAUUGAUUGAUGGUUUGUGUAAGCUCGGUCAGUGGGAAAAGGUUAAAACUUUGUUCUCAGAGAUGGUGAACCUUAAUAUGUAUCCAGAUGUGCGCACCUUCACCAUACUAACAGAUGGACUAUGCAAAGAAGGGAAAGUUGAAGAUGCCGAGGAAGUAAUGAAACACAUGGUUGAAAAGGGUGUCGAGCCUAAUGUAAUCACCUACAAUGUGAUAAUGGAUGGAUAUUGUUUGCGUGGUCAACUAGAUAGAGCUAGGAGAAUUUUUGAUAUCUUGAUAGAUAAGGGCAUUGAGCCUGACAUUUUUAGCUAUAACAUACUAAUAAAUGGAUACUGUAAGAAAAAGAAACUCUCCAAGGCCAUGCAGUUGUUUCGUGAAAUUUCAAAAAAGGGAUCAAAGCCUAAUAUUGUUACCUACAAUACUAUCUUGCAAGGCCUGUUUGAAGUUGGAAGAAUUGGUGUUGCAAAACAAUUGUUUGUUGAGAUGGUAUCUACUGGGCCAGUACCUAACUUAUCCAUUUAUCACACUUUGCUUGAUGGUUAUUUUAAGUACAGACUUGUUGAAGAAGCUAUGUCACUCUUUAAUAAGUUGGAAGGAAAGAAAGAAAAUAUUGAUAUUACAUCUUACAAUAUUAUCAUUAAUGGAUUGUCUAAAAACGGUGAACUCGAUAAAGCUCAUGCUAUUUUUCAGAAGCUUUCUUCAAUAGGAUUGCUUCCGGAUGUGAGAAUAUACACUACAAUGAUAACUGGAUUUUGUCUACAAGGGUUGUUAGAUGAAGCUAAAGAUAUGCUUAGAAAAAUGGAGGGGAACAAUUGUCUUCCAGACAAUGUCACUUACAAUGUUAUCGUGCAAGGAUAUCUUAGGUGCAGGAAAAUAAAUGAAAUGGUAACUUUUAUGAAGGAAAUGACUGGAAGGGGCUUCUCAUUUGACACAACUACAACUGAGUUACUAGUAAAUGCUAUUAGUGAGAAUCCUUCCGUUGUUGACAUGUUACCAGAGCUUCAUGCGGAAAUCAAGAAGUGAAAAGUUGUUCACUUGGUUUGUUCGGCUGCACUAUGGCUGUGAUACAAUUUCCUUUCUAUCCUUGCAAAAGAAUUUACAUCCAAUGCAAUUGCAGAAGUUGAUGGCAAUUAGAGCAUUGCUUGAGGUUUCUAGGCAGACCUACUGAGGAGGUAUAUCGAAUUUUGAUAUUUUGAGUUCUAUAUCCGUUUUUCUUUUUCUCAAAAAUCAAUUGUUAUUGCAUUAUUAAUGUGAGAACAAAAUGGUAAUAUUACCGAUUUAAAAAAUAAUAAUGGUGAGUUUCCUUAUGUGUUUUAAGUCUAGUAAUAUCAUUUAUCAGUGCUAUUUAGUCAUCGAAUCUGAUAGGAAAUACUAUAGUUGCCAGAUUUGUGUUCCUUCCAUUUUGCCUUGUCUGGUAAAGCAUUUUGCAGCCCUUGAAUCCUUCAUUCACUGGCCCAAAUUGGCUCAUUUCCUCCAUUUCAGUCAUGAUACACUUCUAUUGUUGCAAAGCUGAAAGUCCUGGAAAAUUGCUCCUCGAAUCAUGUGUUUCCUAUCCACCUAUUUUGCCAGAAAAGGGCUUUUAUACCAUCUUUCAGUUUAAUGUGAAUGUGCUCUGAGAAUUCACCCCCAUAAGUUUCUGACAUAUUUCCAACUCCAUAAGAAUAGUUAGGAACCUUCGUGAUCCAAAACUUCUCCAUCCCAUAUUAUUUCUGCAAUCAGUUGCUUCUUCAUUUCUUCUUCCUCUUUGUAGAACCUCCAAAGUCUCACAUCAUAAGGAGAUUUUUGUUGUUUAUUUCUUGCUCCUAUGUCGCAUUCCCUCUUCCUUGUUGUCACAAUUUCUCAUUUGACGAGGUUGAAGGCUUUCUUCUCUCUAUUAGCUUGCCACAAGAAGCCUUCCCUGAACUCAUCUCUUUCUUCCUUAGUAUUGGGGUAUUGGAUACAGAGACAUAAUACAUAUAGAAAGGGUGUCCAAGACACUAUCACUACAACAAAAACUGCUUUUAGCGGCAAUAAAUAUGUACAUUAACAAAGAGUGCUAAAGCCUUUACCGGCAUUAAUUAAUUGCCAUUAAAUCCAAUGUCGAUAUAGGCUUUAGCGGCAUUUACAAAGAGUGUUAAAAUAUAAUUGUCACUAGUAAUUGCCUCUAUAAAAACAUAAUUGUUCCACAUUGCCUUCUAGGUGUUCUACCAACUUUGUGUGAUUCACCUUGAAAAUGUCACUCUGCAUAAUUUGCUUGUAAACCUGAUACAGAUUCAAUCAACAAUUAGAUUGUCUUCAGGUACAAUACUUGCUAUUCAUUUGCUUCGCACAUUCUAAGAGUAUCAUCUGGAUUCAAGAGAUGUGAUUGAUCCUUGGCCUCUUGUAUUUACUUGAAACCAUUUUAUCUGGUCAAGCUGUGUUCCCUUGCUAAUCUUUCUACCAAGGCCCUCCAUAACUAAAAUAAAAUGGAAAAAAGAAAGAGGGUCACCUUACCUUAAACUCCUAUGAGCAGAGAAAAAACCUACAUGUGUCUCACUUAUCAAAAUUGAGAAUUUGACAGUGAAUGUGUAAAACUUAACCCAUCUCUCUAUUUGUUUCCGAACCCCAUAUCUCCAAUCGAGUUCAUCAAAAAUCCCCAACUUACAUGGUUGUACACCUUCUAUAUGUCCAGCUUUAUCAAUAGCCAAGUGCUCCUUAUUUUUUCUUUUUUUUUAAUCCAAAGCCUCAUUGGCGCGCCAUUAUUUGCCUAUCUUUAGUGAAUGCCAACUGUUUUCUGUCCACUAAUUUUCUGAUAAAUUGCUUCGAUCUUUUUGCCAGCUAUUUGGCUAUAAUUUAUAUACACUAUUAAUCAAACUAAUGGAUUUGAAAUGUUUCUACUUUUUCACGAGUUUCAAUCCCCAACACCAACUAUCAGUUGUUGUUUUUUUCUGCCUAGACUAUCACCCUCUAUGUAUUAACACACACCUCAACUAUCAGUUUUUCCCUUUUUCUACUUGAAAGAUUGUGGUGGUUCAGGUAGAAAAAGAGAAUAGCUGACAGUUGAGGUGUGUUUAAUUCACAGAUGGUGAUAGUUCAGUUCAUGUAGGAAAAGGAAACAUCUUAUAGUUGAAGUAUGAAACUCGCAAAAAAACGAUAGUUCAUGUGUGUUUUUGACCAUCAACUCUCCAUUCUUCGUGGAAGUUAAGGCAAGCAGUUUAUGUUGCAUGUAUAUUCCUUGCAAAAUGUUCGUUCUGGUGAAAAUACUCUACAACUUUCAACACAUCAUCCUUGGCAACUUCACUUGGAGUGCCUUAGAGAGCCUAACAUGGCAUUUAUUCUACUCAAUGUUUAUUCAGUUGGCACUUUCUUACCCCUGUAAAUAGUGUGGAUAACUUUUUGGAUUUUGUCUCCCUGUCUGCUUCAUGUUUUGUUUGAUCAAGCAACUUCUUUUGCUCUCUUGUAAUCUUGCAUUCAUCUAACUAGGGUGCGUGCACCAGGCUGCCUUGGAUCUAAUCAAUUUGUAGUGUAUGUUUCAGCUUUCAGACUUGUUUUUGUCCCCUAAACUAUAUACAAUGUAUUUUCAUGCCCGAAAGCUUUCUUUCAAUUUUUAUAACAGAACAUGUUACUUGCCAGGUAAUCACAUUUUGUUGUUGAUCAGACCGGUAUGAUACAGAUGGUGUCUACUGGAGAUGUUGUCCGUGCUGUUGCAAGUGAGCGUUGGGAUAAGUUGAACCGUUUCAAUGCUUACAUACAAGGAGGUUACUAGAUGAUGAUGACAAGCAUGGAACUUGAAAAGCGUGAAUGUAUAAGCUCAAUUAGGGUGGCAAAUGGGUGAAUUGAAUCAGAUCGGAUUUGGAUGGAUUGAGUUAAAAUGGAUUGGAUCACAAUCACUUGAGCCCACCUUAGGCAAACGCCACCUUGGCGUGUUUGAGGUGGCAUGCCACGCGGCACCCACAAAUUAUGACAUAAGCUCAAUCACUUGGGCCGACCUUAGGUAGACAUCACCUUGGGCUUGGGGUGUUGAGGUGGCAUACCACUUGGCCUUCACCUGUGAACUAGAGCCAUAUAAAUAUGAAUGAAAAUCCAAACUAUAGUCUCUCAACUUUUGGAUAGGUUGCUAUUCUUCCAAUGAAACUGUUUGAUUAGUUUCCAUCAAUAUAGCUAUGACAUAUAUUCAUUGCAUUUAGUUUUUUUAUAUUUUAUUUGCAAGCUUUAGUUAUACAUUAUAUUUUUUUGUGUGUGCAUUUCCAUGAUUGUAUCGUAUGUGUUUAAAUAUGAAACUUUCAUCCCAUUUAACUUAAAAAUAAAAAAAUCAUUUUUAAAUUUGUUAAAGUAAAAAAAAAAUUAUUAUUUAUGUCACUUCAUAUAAGCACGUAUCAUUCAAAUAAAAGGGACAAUGAGUAUGUAACCAAGUGCUCCUUCAAUUUACUUCUUUUCCUUGUGGGAAGUGCAGAUUUUUUUGAGAAGAGAAAGAGAUACAAUCUCAAUCCUUCCGUAAUGACCUGUUUUUUUGGAUUUAAUUAUUCGUAGCUAUAAUUAUUUGAAUGAGUCUUUUUUGAUUUCUUGGUAAGAUUUCAAUCAGUACUUUCUCCAAUAAAGAGAUACUCCAUCCGUUUCUUUUUAUAUGUCACAUUUUUAUUUUGCGCUUGCAUUAAAAAAUGAUUUAAUUUUAUCCUUCUACCCUAUUUAAUGUUUUAUUAACUCAACUUUAUAAUAAAUGAUGAAUAUGUUAAAUGACUAUUUAAAUUUUUAAGUUUAUUUUUGGUAGAAUAGUGAAUAAACAAAGUAGUUAAUCAAUGUAUGAAGUACUCUCUCCAUUAAUUACUUGUAGAUUUCCUAGGUUAGUCAAAACAUAUAGUUUCAAGACUAAUUAACUACUCUAUCAAGGAUAUAAUAGGAAAAAUAUGGUAAUUUAUGCAUUGAUUUUAUAAAAUGACAAGUAUUGUAGUCCAACUAUUUAUAAAAAUGGAUGACAUAUAAAAAGGAACGGAGGGAGUACAUACUAAGAAAAAAAAAUUCAUUUUGAUGGAGGAAUUUUAUAUGAAGAGUGAUGAGAAUGUCAAAACGCAACAAUAAUUAUUUGUAGAAAGUAUCAAUUUAUUUGUGGAAUUUAUAUAGGGAUGGCAACAGGGCGGAGCAAAUGUUAGGCGGGGUGGGUUUAAGGCUAUGCGGAGCGGGGUGAGUUUAAGGUUAUGCGGGGCAGGUUGAGGUGGGUUUUUGUUAAACUAAUGCGGGGCAGGGCGAGUUGCGGGGAUAUGUGAUUUUUAUGGGGAUUAAACUUAAUUAUUUAAUAAUCAUAUUUCUUCUUUUAUCCUACAUUUUCAUAAUAGUUCUACCCCGUACACUAUUUUUCUUGUAGAUUUAUUGCUCAAAUUAUAAAUAUGUGACAUUAAAUAACGACAUAAAAACAAUAAAAAAUAUUCAAACAUUAUAUUCAUUUAAACAAUAUAAUACAUACAAUAUAAUUCCAUACCUAAUGAACAACUAUCCAAACAAAGUGUUAAAAGAGAUUCCUACAAAAUUAGGUCACACUGAAAAUUAUUGAGCAACUCAGUGAGAGAAAUUUGCUUUGGCAAUGGCGAUGAGCAGAAUUUGUCUGAGGAAAUGCAAUGGUAUUCUCUCUAUCUCUUCCUUUCAUAUCUCCUAUUCUGAUUUUUCUUCACGCGGUAGUAAAGUAAAGGGUAGAGUUGGGUUAAAUAGUAGCAGUAGUUUUGAGUGUUUAGAUGAUGCUGUGAAUCUAUUCCAUCAAAUGGUUAGAAUGAAACCUCUUCCUUCUCUUGUCGACUUCUCUAAAUUGUUUAGCAAUAUGAUAAGUAGGAAGCAUUACUCUGCUGUCCUUUCGCUCUUUCGAGAAAUGCUAACAAUGGGUAUCCCGGUUGAUGAAUUCAUCUUGAAUAUUGUGAUUAACAGUUAUUGCCUGAUGCAUCGUGCUGAUUUUGGAUUUUCGGUGUUAUCUAUUUACUUGAAGAAUGGCAUUCCGUUUAAUAAUGUUACCUUUAACACCCUAUUAAGAGGAAUCUUUGCUGAAAAUAAGGUUAAGGAUGCAGUUGAAUUGUUCAAAAAAUUGGUGAGAGAGAAGAUUUGUGUGCCCGAUGAAAUCAUGUAUGCAACAGUAAUGAAUGGAC
This 6502-nucleotide long non-coding RNA is filed under the name Solanum tuberosum (potato). Its description in RNAcentral is "long non-coding RNA (STUB_LNC006072)". Lineage: Eukaryota; Viridiplantae; Streptophyta; Magnoliopsida; Solanales; Solanaceae. The record is from RNAcentral.